This is a long non-coding RNA of Labrus bergylta (ballan wrasse), 1491 nucleotides long. RefSeq lists it as uncharacterized. NCBI's taxonomy places the organism in Eukaryota, Metazoa, Chordata, Actinopteri, Labriformes, Labridae. The record is from RefSeq and is a predicted model, not a curated record.
UACCCCCUUUCCCCAGGUGAACUAAUCACCUGAUUGAAACCAAUCAAGGAGUCAGUCAGAAGGCAGCAGGACACAGUCAUUCCUGAAACAAUCAAGGAGAACUUCUAAAUGAGAAACACUGUGCUUUUUAACCCUGGACACAAAGCUGGACUUAACUUAACUGAGACUUCAAACCCUUGAGGAGCUGAUGUGCUGCUGCUGCUGCUGAGGAGGAAUGUUUCAGGACUGAACACUGGUCAGGCCAUAUUGCCGGAGCAAAGAAGCUGGCGAGCUAAAGGAGCAACUUCAAAAGACUCAAGAUUCCCUCAAAAGGCAGGUCUCAAGCCUGGCUGUCUGGUUCAAGGGUUUGGUAGGAUUUCCCCUACCUAAAUAAACAUUUGAAUUCUUGGGACAUCUGCACACACGUAACACUCAACUGCAGCACGUGUAAUGUGUUUGGUGCCUUGAUUUCUAUGAAUAGAAUUGGGAAUGUUUAGCAUAUGUUGUAUGGAGGGUAAAAGGUGCCCUAAAGAAUCUGUGAAUUGAAGGCCUAUUUUAUUUUAUUUAAUUGUGGGAUUUUCCUUGAUUAAGUUUAAGUGUUUUUUGUUAUUUGUCAACAUUCUGUGUCGUGUGUUUAAUUAAUUCUCCACCAGCUCAAGAGUCUAACCUUUGGCUUGAAGCAUUUGUAUAGUAGUCAAUCAUUUGCUGAUGCUUGGCAGCCAAUGUGAGUGGUAUAUUCUUAAAACAAUUUGUACGACGAGCAACCUGCUUAAAAAAAGCUAUGCUUUGCCUCAAAUCUCAUUGUCCAUUGCCCCACUAAAGGUCCAAAACAUUCAAUCACCUGAGGGUAAUGCUCAAUGUAGUGAUGUUUUGGUCGGAGUCGUGCGGGGACAAAAGCUCCAAAAAUCCAUUUCUGUGUUCAGUGAUUCUGCAUUCCAAGUAGGCAAUGGUCUCUUUAUUGUAAGCAGGUGCCACAACGAGUUCAACAAUGUCUUUUAAAUCAAGCAACACAAGCCAAGCAGGCUCUUCCUCUGGUAUUAAGUCUCCAAUAAUUAAUGGGAGCAACCUUAUUAAAUUCCAAUUUCCAUGGGCAUUGCCUCCGACAGUCUUUGUAGUUGCUAAAGUGCGAGCUAUAACAUGUGGUUUGUUAGUUUUAUCCCCCCACUUAUACGGGAAGUUUAUGAUUAAAUUGUUUAGAGUGUCAAGAGAGAGAUACUUUUUAGAAAUUAGUAUUCCAAUGCAGAGAGGAAAACUCAACUAGUCCCUCAAACAAAUCAUGAGCAAUGACGUGAAAAUAAGACAAAUUCUUGGAAAACGCACACUCUUUUUACUCCACAACAGAUUGUUGAGCUGUCAUUUGCGGAUCUAAUGUGUGUAUCAUGUACGUCUUUGGUUCUUGGUGUAAAAUGUCCUGACUGAACAGUCUUAUCCUGAAUGUCUGAUCUCAUGUCCAUACAACUUCACAUCAGUACUCUUGCACAAUACUGCCAAAUAAAUUGAAGAUACAGUUGA